Molecule: long non-coding RNA, 1759 nt
Organism: Thunnus maccoyii (southern bluefin tuna)
Lineage: Eukaryota; Metazoa; Chordata; Actinopteri; Scombriformes; Scombridae
Exons: 3
Source: RefSeq, a predicted model, not a curated record
CAGUUAGGGGAUGUUGUAAGACGGGGCAAAAUGAAAACAGAGGUGUGGUAAAUAACUAACUACUGCCUUGUGAUGGAACCGAUGUGAUUGUGGCUGAUUCUGGGGAAAAGGAAGGCUUAACUCGUAAACGUUAGUCAUGAGGGAAAACUGGGAGGAGACGGUAGGCAAGGAGACAGUAGGCAAGCAGACAGAGGUGAGCACACACUCACCUACACACACCAUGCCACAGGAGACGAACAAAGAGAAGACCCAAAGAGGGAUCCUAUGAUGUGUAACUAAAGCAGGAAAUAUGUCAGACCAUACUGACUGAUAAACUCACAAGAACUUGAAGCUGACCACAGCAGUGAGGCAACAUGGAUGUACGUACGAACGAAUCGACCGGAGGGGGGGAUGACAUCACCGUCACCCGUGGGAGCCAGGGCCUGCCAUUCAUGACAGCGGUGUGUGUGUGUGUCUGUCUCUGUGUGUCACUUCCUGGGAGAGAAUAGAACAGGAAGCUGGGGUGAGAGCCGACAACAAGCCCUCGCCUCACCUCCACAAGGAAGCCUUUCUCCCCAGGGAGAGAAAGAGAGGGAUGUGUGUCUGUGUAUGUGUGUGUGUGUGUGUGUGUGUGUGUCCUUCGCUCGCUCCUGCAUUCAUACUGCAGAGUGCUGGUUCUGGGUUUGCGUAAGCCUACUGUGUGCAUUUACUUUUAGCUCAAGUCUGACCUUUUUAAAAAAAAAAAAAAAAAAAAAAAAUUGAGCAAAUUGAGGUCACUUUUUCUAGCCAGUUGCGUGCAGACUCUGGAGAGGGGAAAAUGUCUACCUCAGCCACCAUGGCAUUGCCAGGGUUUAUUUUUCCUUACGCACCAGAGCAGCACUUAACAGUGUGACAUCACGCCCUCUCUUUGACCUCAAAUACAUUGACCUCCACAACAUAGGUCCAAUGGGACUCUGACAUUGAUGGGAAGUGAAACUUAAUGUAGAGAAAAAUGGAGAAUGUAACAGAAAAUAUCCGACUAUGAGGAAAGCAAGUUAGAAAAUGAUUAUUGUGAUUGCCUACAUUCCAAUGUAGUGCUUAGUAUCCUAGUAAGCUGCUUGUUUUUAACACUCUACCUUUUGCAAACUAUUUGCUGUUCCGUGUCCAGGCAUCCUCCAUCAUGCAUGCUGCAUGCCACCGCCUUAAGCAUCAUGUUUAAAAGCUUCUCUUAUGCCUCUAGUUGCUCUUUUUCUUCUUCUUUGCUCGUAUCAAAUAUUCAAAGCAGGUGUUGUUGCACCAUAAAAGACUAAGAUGUCAAUCUGUUGUCAAUCCAGCAAGCCUUUUAUUAGUAUCACCUAUGUGUUAUUUCAACUCAUGUGUUCCCGUCAUUUGUCCAUCUUAACUUUAGAUUCACUCCUCUUCCUGUUGUGUUGUAUCAUUUAUUUCCUGCUAACUGGCUCUGAGUUGAUACUGAAUAUCUGCCAAGUGACCCUACCCGUUAACCUUUCUAAACUGAGGGCGAAGAGAGAUGACAUGUUCCUAUGAGAGAAUCAAGGGAGAGUCAUAUCACCAUAGUAACUAUUUCAUCAGAUGUUAUGCUGCCCUCUUGUGUCCAUAAGCAGAAUUAAAGGAGUCUGUCUACUUAAACCACAUGUGACAGCAUGGCAAAAUAUUGUGUCAUGAAUUUAAGGGCGUCUCAUUGUGAGGCUGUAUCACAUGAUUAAUUAAAUGUUCUCCUCCUCCUUCUCCCCUCUGCUGCCCCCACCCUCCUAAACCCACAGUAGAAGCCCCAAAUAAAAGA